This 435-nucleotide ribosomal RNA is filed under the name uncultured bacterium. RNAcentral's name for it is "bacterial SSU rRNA". It matches the Rfam family "Bacterial small subunit ribosomal RNA", at positions 958 to 1393 of the family's 1533-position model. The record is from RNAcentral.
AACGCGAAGAACCUUACCAGGUCUUGACAUCCCCUGACCUCCUUAGAGAUAGGGCUUUCCCCUUCGGGGGACAGAGUGACAGGUGGUGCAUGGUUGUCGUCAGCUCGUGUCGUGAGAUGUUGGGUUAAGUCCCGCAACGAGCGCAACCCUUGAUCUUAGUUGCCAGCAUUCAGUUGGGCACUCUAAGGUGACUGCCGGUGACAAACCGGAGGAAGGUGGGGAUGACGUCAAACCAUCAUGCCCCUUAUGACCUGGGCUACACACGUGCUACAAUGGAUGGUACAAAGGGCAGCAAAGCCGCGAGGUCGAGCUAAUCCCAUAAAACCAUUCUCAGUUCGGAUUGUAGGCUGCAACUCGCCUACAUGAAGCCGGAAUCGCUAGUAAUCGCGGAUCAGCAUGCCGCGGUGAAUACGUUCCCGGGUCUUGUACACACGC